CCUACGGGCGGCAGCAGUGAGGAAUAUUGGUCAAUGGCCGGAAGGCUGAACCAGCCAAGCCGCGUGAAGGACGAAGGUGCCAAGCAUUGUAAACUUCUUUUGUCAAGGGACAAAAUCAGGCUCGAGAGCCUGACCGAGUGUACUUUAAGAAAAAGCAUCGGCUAACUCCGUGCCAGCAGCCGCGGUAAUACGGAGGAUGCGAGCGUUAUCCGGAUUUAUUGGGUUUAAAGGGUGCGUGGGCGGUCCGGAAAGUCAGCGGGAAAAGCCCGGGGCUCAACCCCGGCGAGCCGUUGAAACUGGCAGACUCGAGACGGCGAGAAGUACGCGGAAUGCGCGGUGUAGCGGUGAAAUGCAUAGAUAUCGCGCAGAACUCCGAUUGCGAAGGCAGCAUGCCGGCGCCAGACUGACGCUGAGGCACGAAAGCGUGGGUAUCGAACAGGAGUAGAUACCCUUGUAGUC
Molecule: ribosomal RNA, 459 nt
Filed under: uncultured bacterium
Lineage: Bacteria
Description: partial 16S ribosomal RNA
Rfam family: Bacterial small subunit ribosomal RNA
Source: RNAcentral